RNA transcript from Brachypodium distachyon (stiff brome), 6178 nucleotides. RefSeq lists it as uncharacterized. The transcript is spliced from 8 exons. NCBI's taxonomy places the organism in Eukaryota, Viridiplantae, Streptophyta, Magnoliopsida, Poales, Poaceae. The record is from RefSeq and is a predicted model, not a curated record.
UUCAUCGGGCCUCGAACAAUCCGCCACCAGUCCAACCCAGUCUCGCCAUCGCAGCCUUCUUCCUCUUCCUCGUCACGGCCGCGCGCCUCCCGCCAGUUCCGUUCCCCGCGCCCUCCCUUCUCCAACUCCCUCCUGUCACCUGACGCCCAUCUCUUCUCCCUUUCCCUCCUCCUCGCCCCACUGCUCCCCGUGGGCGCGUGUGCCUGCGUCUGCUACCCCGUCGGUUGUCGCCUCUCUGGCCGAGACAUCGGGAGCCUCGCGCGCGUCUCGCGCCGACGGUGUUCGACGGAAUGCCCCGCCGAUCGACAGCGUUACCGAUGACCAUAUCUGCUUCCUAAAGGUGCAUCAAACUGUGAUGAAUAUCAUAUGCUUGUUGCUCUUCCAGGGAUGGGCAUUUGGUCUAUGUACCAUGCCAUAAAUCCUCAUAGUACGGGGUCUCUAAGUGUUCUAUGCUCUGGAAUUUAUCUUGCUGCUCGUUCUUUCUGUAACAAGCUGAACCAUAGCAGUUCCCUAAAGGAUAGAAGGCUUGCUAGGAUUGAUAGGAAUUUGAUUGACGUGUCUGCGAUCAGUCAACGCUUGCAACUAUGUGCAAAAAGGAAGUCCCUCUUGGUUGGGAAAAGCUGCCAUGGAUUAGCCAUUCAUUUUGGUCUGGUAACAGAUACUCUCACAUGCAAUAUUCUCAUCAACUUGUACACAAAAUGUGGCCGGAAUGAUUGUGCCCGUCUUGUUUUUGAUAUAAUGCAUGUCAGAAGCAUAGUCUCAUGGAAUACCAUGAUUGCUGGAUAUACUCACAGUGGAGAGGAUGUACAAGCCCUGAAGCUUUUUUCAAGGAUGCACCGAGAAGGGACACAUAUGAGUGAAUUUACUUUAUCCAGCACAAUCUGUGCAUGUGCUGCAAAAUAUGCUAUCAAUGAAUGCAAACAAUUACAUACUAUUGCACUCAAGCUCGCACUGGACUCCAAUAGUUUUGUUGGAACUGCAAUUCUAGAUGUUUAUGCCAAAUGUAAUAUGAUUAAGGAUGCCUGCUGGGUUUUUGAGAAGAUGCCUGAGAGAACUUUAGUUACAUGGAGUUCAUUGUUCGCCGGAUAUGUGCAGAAUGGUCUUCAUGAAGAAGCAUUGCAUUUAUUCCGGUGUGCCCAAAGAGAAGGAGUAGAAUUGACUGAAUUCACUCUUUCUGCUAUCCUUAGUGCAUGCGCAAGCUUAGCAUUGAAAAUUGAAGGGAUACAGCUGCAUGCAGUUAUUUUGAAGUGUGGUUUUCAUGGGAACUUCUUUGUUGCAGCAUCUCUUGUCGAUGUAUAUGCAAGGUGUGGGCAGAUUGAAAAAGCUUAUGCACUAUUUGCUUAUAUGGAGCAUAAAAAUGUUGUCAUAUGGAAUGCAAUGAUUGCUAGUUUUUCUAGGCAUGCCCAUUCUUGGGAAGCCAUGAUUCUCUUUGAGAAAAUGCAGCAGUUAGGGAUUUUUCCAAACGAAGUUACCUAUCUCUCAGUAUUGUCAGUGUGCAGUCAUGCAGGUUUAGUUGAAAAGGGUCGUCACUACUUUAGCCUUCUAAUGUCUGAUCGGACCGUUGAACCUAAUGUCCUUCACUAUUCUUGCAUGGUUGAUGUUCUGGGACGAUCUGGGAAGACUGAUGAGGCUUGGGAAUUGCUUAACAAAAUGCCAUUUGAACCAACUGCUUCAAUGUGGGGAUCUUUGCUUGGGUCAUGCAGGAACUACAAUAACAUUAGGUUAGCCAGAAUAGCAGCUGAACAGCUUUUCCAACUUGAGCCUGACAACGGAGGGAACCAUGUUUUGCUCUCAAAUGUAUAUGCUGCCAGUGGGAACUGGGAGAAUGUUCUUAUGGCAAGGAAGUAUCUGAAGGAUAGUGGUGCAAAGAAAGAAAUGGGCAGGAGUUGGAUCGAGGCAAAGGGCAAAGUUCAUGUCUUUGUUGUUGGAGAGAGAAAGCACCCAAGAAUCACUGAUAUUUAUAAUAAGUUGGAGGAAAUUUAUCACGAGAUGAGAAAAUUUGCUCGCAGAACCAGCAUAGAAUGCGAUCUUCAUGAUGUACACGCUGAACAAAAAGAGGAGCUGCUUAAACACCACAGCGAGAAGUUAGCUCUUUCUUUUGGUUUAAUCAGCUUGCCUUCUAAUAUACCAAUUAUAAUCCACAAGAACCUUAGGAUCUGCGGCGACUGUCAUUCCUUCAUGAAGAUUGCAGCUCAUAUCACUGAACGUCUAGUCAUUGUCAGAGAUACCAAUAGAUUUCACCAUUUUAAGGAUGGCUCAUGUUCUUGUGGGGACUUCUGGUGAUUUAGGACUGAAUGAGGGACAUCAAUCAUCUACCAGUGGUACUCUCAACAUGUAGAAAAUUAUUGCCCUGUGAGUAGUGGCGCUGCUGCCGCACUAAAGAUCUAUGUCAGGACUGAUCUUUAUAGCUUUGCCAUUCAAGUCAAUAAUGUCAUGCUGCUGGUCCUAUUUGCUAUUAUGUCAACACUAUUGUCUGAACUGUGCAUAACGAAUGGAAGUAGAUGCAAGUCCUUGAUUGUCUGAAUGGACUGUUUUUUUCAUACAUCAUGAGCCACGUCAUGGGGAGUGCAUGCAAGGUUUGUUCUUACAGAAAUAUACAUGGGAAGUGGAUUUAUUCUCAGCUCAACAUUUGAUAAUUUCAGUGCCUGAAGAAGUCUGCUAGGCCACUUACUUGGCACUACCAGUGUAAUUCUUGAGAACUGUACCAAUUGAUGCACAUUGUGGCUCCAGCUCCUUACGAUCAAAUCUUCCUCGUCAUUCUUUCCACAAUUCCACUCCAAAAAUGAUGUACUCUGGAAGCGCGUAGGGGCUGUGGUUAGUGUAGCCGUACAUUGGCGUCGUUGGCGCCUCUGCCUCCGGCUCCGGGCCACAGUCGAGGUUCACGCCGAAGAGCCUGAGACGCCUAGAUGGUGGUGCUGAUGCUGUGCUGCUGCUCUUGGCGUCUGCGUCUCUCUGCGACUCGCCUGCGAUGAUUCGCCGGAAAAUGGUGUAAGAGUGCCAGGAAAAUGGGAAUAGCUGGUUGUUGUCUCACGUGGCCUUGGCAUUACCUGUCCUGGCCUUGCUGUUGCAGCUGGAGUGCUCCAAGUUCCCAAAACGCCAAAAUAUUCUUACAUUGAGAUUGGAAAUAGGAUCAAGAUUGGACCUGCGCACGGAUUCUUCCUUCUUCAAUUUCCAACAAGUUCAUGAAUGAGGGAUCUACAAAGCACACUGGAUCACAAUAACUACCGCGCACUGGUACCUAUUUGCAACAUGCAUGCACUGGUUGGUUGCGAGUUGUGCCCCAAGUGUACGUACGUAGCAUAUUUAAAUCUGGCCACGAGGAUGGAGCCACGCAACGCCGCAGCUUAAGGUUCUUAAUUUCCCAGGGCUCAAUCAUGCAGCUCACCUGCCCCCCAAUCUCCCCUGAUAAUGCAAUGCAAUGCAGGCAGGCCAGGGUUUGGUUUUCGAUCUCCAGUCACAUGAUGAGCGAUCGAGGUGACUCACUUGAGCCGGUAUCUCUCGUGGAAUUGAAUAUGGGAUCACUGGUGAUAAGGGGACACACACAUGCUAAUGCCCCUCAUUAUGUUAUUCCCGUGGCUCUAUGGAUCUGUUCCUUUUCCAUGAGGCCACGUAUGUCGCCCGGGUUCAUGCAUGCAGAUGUAGCUGGGAUUGAUCAUCAUGGUCAUGGACGUACUACGUGGGUAGCAUGUGCCUCAGCACGUCUUCAGGAUGUGUCAAGUUUUUUAAAAAAGCACGAUGGUGAGUACAGGCAUUAAUUAUUUUUAUGCGAUUGUACGAACCUUGCUACAUUUGUACGGUGGCUUGUACGUUGUCUCUAGUUCCUGUUUAUACUCCUCGUGGCAAAUAUAUACACGCAUGUUUUUCUGUUGGUCUCCAAUAGAUUUGCUUUGUUUUAUGGUAGCAUGUUUGAUUCAAGGGAUUUUUGCAAGACUUCAAUAUAUCCGUUUAUGAUUCUCUUUUUACAGAAGUUGUUUUGAUUUGUGAGGUUUUGAACUUCAGGGAAUUUUGUCAUGCCACCACUUUGCUCUCAGUUUCCAUGUUUUUCUUAUAUGCUACUGUAUAAUCGAUCAAACAAUUUUUUGUUGCCAAUUUCUCUGUUAUGAUCAGUCUGUAUACUUUCUGUUCCUGCGAGGCCAAUAUUUUAUGUGUAUUCUAAUAUUUGGGUAACCAGCACUCCUGAUCGAGCUCAUCGCAUCAUCGUGUACGAUUCCAGUUCACAGGUCAACCUGAAUACCUGAUGAGUCCGCCGCUACCAGACGCUGAUCUGUGUGCUGUGCGUGGCGUUGGCGUGGGAAUGCGUAAAGGAGAGGCGCAGGCUGCAGACGAUCUCUAGCUGGGAUUGGCAGGAGCUUUUCUUUCUCCUCUUCUCUGCUCUGCCUGCCCGCACUGAAGACUGACGUGAUAGAGAAGAAGGCCUGACCACGCGGCCAGGAGGAGGGAGAGAUGAUGAUGGGCAAGAGAAGGAAAAGGAACUUGGUAUGUUUUGAGAUGCCUUUUCUCCUGACGGUGUCAUGUUGGUAAGUACUGGAGUAGUAGCUAGUAUAGCACUCGCUUUUUGGUCAGCAGCCUGAACGGGGUCUUUUGGAGUGGAGGGAGACAAAGUGGAAACAAACAGCUCCUGAUUACCACGAGGGGACGAAAGAGAGCGAGGUAGCGAAAAAUGCUGCAAAUGUGGUGAUAGUACAGUACAGUGAAGGCUACGUCACCUGGUCUCGGGCCUUUAGUGUUGGUACCUGGUACCUUUAGCUAAGCCUGCCUGAUGAUCUGACCUUGGAGGUCGACGCCGAGCAGAGAGCAGCGCCCAUGUAGGAAAAGGCAGCGCGUUUGCCAGCGGCUUCGAUGUAGCUCGUACGUCCUCUUGGAUCGACCCAAAUUAACCACGCACGCAGCACAGAACAGAACAGUGUGCAACGCGGCCGCAACUGAACCUGCAACAGCAACAGCAACAGCAAGAUGGUCCUCCUUGCAUUGCAUGAUGAAUCCAUUGGUUAUUUGGUUUUCGCAUCUACUGUAUCUUUCUCAACCAUCUCUCGCGCCUGCGCCUUCCUCCAGUCCUACACUGCACGGACCCCAGCCCAACAACAGUAGUUCGGCAUGCACAACAAAGCUUCCUUCCUUCGGUCCCCUGCCAUUGUUAGGCGCGCGACGCAGCACGCCGGCCGGUGUCCCAAGUGCCACGCGCCGGAGGUCCCCCUCCACUCCAGUUCCUCCCAGAUCUAGGUCCCGGGGCCUCUGCAAGACUCUGAUGGCGAGCCAUCUAAACGUAUGCACACCGUCAAGUAUUUCGGCUCUCUCCGAUAUAUAGUGGUAUAAUGUGUCAAUUGUCAUGGUCCUCCUGAAGGAGUACUCCACUUCUCUCCUUCACCCUGGCCAUCGCUUACCGGUCUGAUCUAAUUGACAACUACAGCACGCAAAAAACUUCCAAGCAUGUACGCCUGCCUUGCUGGUGUGGGAAUGCUGUGCUCCUACUGUCCUGUUGUUCCUGUGCAUGCAUUGCACGCCAACCAGCAGAGAGGAGAGAAAACACCAAGAGAAGAGAAGAAUAAUGUGCGUGUGGCCGAUCAAGUGACGACGAUGCAGUGGCAAUCUGGGCGAUAGCGAUCGAGCAAGCAUGUGACGUAAUGGAUUGUAAAGCCAAAGCCGGGCUAAUAAUUCCGGCCACUGGCAGCAGAGAAGAGAAGAGAGGGCCUCCUCCAAUCAAGCGACACCUGAACCUCGUGUGGACGACCGACUUGUGGGUGACGUCACCCGGGCCUCCUGAGUGGGCUUCUGCCAAUACAGAUCGGCUUGUCAGGCCCGCCUGCUGCCACGCCCCCCCUCUACCCGGUCCCGUUCGGGCCGGGGCCCUCUACACAGGGCGCUGCUGUGCACUUAUCGUGAAAAAUGAGUGAAAGAGUGAGUGAGAGAUUGGGGUGUCAGAGACGGGACCAAAUCUGCAUGUUUUUGGAGUGCGAUGUAAGCGUUCCUCAGGCGUUGAUUUUUCCUCCUCCUAGCUAACCGUGGCCUGCAUGGUGUCAAACGGCGAUUUUUGAAUCUCACCUUCGGUCUAUGUCGUCGCUUGUCGAUCUGAUAGCCCACGUCAUGAGUUUGUAUGUUUUGACUGAAUAUCAGUUUUCACUCUUGGUGUUAAGAAGGAUGAGUCAUCUUGAAGCCGAGUUUGCAGGCUUUGACUGAAUUC